AGACUAUAACACCUCAACGGUUGGGCGUAUUGAGACCAAACUUGGUGUGUGUUAUAACAAGCAUGACAAGAGACUUCCUGCAGUGUUUCGACGCAGCGCCACCUAGUGGUCAGGAGAUAUGAAAACUGCAUGUUUUUGCUUAUAACUUCUGAAUGGUUUGGCCAAAAAUCACAAAACUGGUCUCAUUAGAUUCGGUGGGUCAUGUCAAGUCGAAAGAUAUCCAAUUUUCCCGUGUCGGCCAUUUUAGGUGUCGGCCAUUUUGAAUUAUGUUUCAAAAUGCUGUAUUUUUUGAACGCAUUAUCGUAUCACUACGAAAAUAAUUACAAAAAUGUUUGGCUCCAUGCCCUGAAGCUACUCAAAAAGUUUGGCGGCAGCGCCACCUUGUGGUCAAAAGUUAUAAUGAAAUAUCUUAAAAAUGCUAAUAACUUUUGAAAAAAUUAGACUAUUGCAAUGAAAGUCAUGUCGCUAUAUUCUUUGGAUCAUGCCGAGAAAAUCGAUACCAAUUAUUCCAAAAUUGGCCAUACUUCCUGUCCGCCAUUUUUAUUAAAGUUGAAAACAUACUUUUUCGAACUCCUCCUAGACCGUAAGUCCGAUUUUCACCAAAUUUGGUUCGGAUCAUCUUCAGACCAAGCUGAUAAAAAGUUAUGGAUUUCGUGUCGAUAUACGAAACGGUUUUCGUUUAGCGCAUCAACAAAUUUGUUCGUAAGAUGCCAAAACACAUCUGAGGCUGUAUCUCAGCAAAGCUUUGACAUAUUUGCACCAAACUUUGUAUUUGCCAUUGUCACCUCACACUGACCACGCAACAUUAAUUUGGUAACAGCGCCACCUAUUGGUCAAGAAUAAUAAACCAUUCAUUAACCAUUAAUAAUUACAUUUAUAAAAAUGCUUAUAACUUUUUAUUGCAUUAGCCUAUUGCAAUGAAACUGGUCUCAAAAUAUUCCUUGGCUUAAGCCGACAACAUAGAUAUCAAAUAUGCCAGAGUACGCUGAACUUCCUGUCCGCCAUUUUGAUUUAUGUUGAAAACCUACUUUUUCAAACUCCUCAUCAACCGUUGGUCCAAUUUUCACCAAAAUCGAGACAGAUGAUCUUCAGACUGUGGUGACAAAAAGUUAUGGAUUUCAUGUUGAUAGACAAAACCGUUUUCGCAUACCACAGCGACAAAUUUCAGGCAUGAUGCCAAAAUGACACUUCAGCCUGUAUCUCUGCAAUGCUUUGGCAUACUGACACCAAACUUUGUGUGUGCCAUUGUCAAAUGACACAGAACACACCACAUCGAUUUGAUAACAGCGCCACCUAUUGGUCACACUUGAUAAGCCAAUAAAUCAUGCUACUAGAGGUUGUAUUUAUGAUUUUUCAGCCAUGUCAAUUACAAUCAUCCUAAAAUGGCUUCAAUUACUAAUUUCUGCAGUUGGUCUGAUGCUCCGUGCCAUGCUUAGCUCCUCAAUAUGCCUCUGGAGUGCUUGGCCCCGUAAUUGCUGCUUGCAGCUAUAUUUAUUAGGGGCCAAGCACCGAAGGUGCGUAGGCACCUAUUGUAUCUGUUGGCGUUAUUCUUCUUCUUCUUCUUCUUCUUCUUCUUCUUCUUCUUCUUCUUCUUCUUCUUCUUCUUCUUCUUCCGCCGCAAGUCUAUGGCAGCCCAUAGAACCGAUUGCGGGAAAGUUGUAUAAUUUGGCACACUGAUAGAGGACAGUCCCAGCAUUAACUAUAGCAAAUUUGAAGUCUCUAACUCCAACUCUCUAGCGCCACCACUUGUCCAAAAUUUCAAUAUUUUUAUGCUAAUAACUUUUGAACCGUAAGCCACAAAAUUAAAAUUCUUUUUUCCGCUGAAUCCUUGGCUCAUGCCAAGUCGAAUGAACCCCGAAAUUCAAAAAUCGCAAGGUUUAGUUUUUUCGCUAUUUUCAAUUGUUCGAAAAACCUACUUUUUCGAACUCGUCCUAGACGGUUAGUCCGAUUUUCACGAAAAUUGGCUCAGAUCAUCUUCAGACCAUGCUGGCAAAAAGUUAUGGAAUUCAAGUUGAUUCGUCCAAAAGUUCUCGAAUACCACGCGAAAAAAUUCUAAGAAAAGCACGCAAAAAU
This is a long non-coding RNA of Cyprinus carpio carpio, 2073 nucleotides long. Lineage: Eukaryota; Metazoa; Chordata; Actinopteri; Cypriniformes; Cyprinidae. The record is from Ensembl.